AUUGAACGCUGGCGGCAGGCUUAACACAUGCAAGUCGAGCGGGGUGAUGGUGCUUGCACUAUCACUUAGCGGCGGACGGGUGAGUAAUGCUUAGGAAUCUGCCUAUUAGUGGGGGACAACAUCUCGAAAGGGAUGCUAAUACCGCAUACGUCCUACGGGAGAAAGCAGGGGAUCACUUGUGACCUUGCGCUAAUAGAUGAGCCUAAGUCGGAUUAGCUAGUUGGUGGGGUAAAGGCCUACCAAGGCGACAAUCUGUAGCGGGUCUGAGAGGAUGGUCCGCCACACUGGGACUGAGACACGGCCCAGACUCCUACGGGAGGUAGCAGUGGGGAAUAUUGGACAAUGGGGGGAACCCUGAUCCAGCCAUGCCGCGUGUGUGAAGAAGGCCUUAUGGUUGUAAAGCACUUUAAGCGAGGAGGAGGCUCUUUUGGUUAAUACCCAAGAUGAGUGGACGUUACUCGCAGAAUAAGCACCGGCUAACUCUGUGCCAGCCGCCGCCGUAA
This 503-nucleotide ribosomal RNA is filed under the name uncultured bacterium. Its description in RNAcentral is "partial 16S ribosomal RNA". It matches the Rfam family "Bacterial small subunit ribosomal RNA", at positions 30 to 523 of the family's 1533-position model. The record is from RNAcentral.